AUUGAACGCUGGCGGCACGCCUUACACAUGCAAGUCGAACGGCAGCAUGAUCUAGCUUGCUAGAUUGAUGGCGAGUGGCGAACGGGUGAGUAAUACAUCGGAACGUGCCCUGUAGUGGGGGAUAACUAGUCGAAAGAUUAGCUAAUACCGCAUACGACCUGAGGGUGAAAGUGGGGGACCGCAAGGCCUCAUGCUAUAGGAGCGGCCGAUGUCUGAUUAGCUAGUUGGUGAGGUAAAGGCUCACCAAGGCGACGACCAGUAGCUGGUCUGAGAGGACGAUCAGCCACACUGGGACUGAGACACGGCCCAGACUCCUACGGGAGGCAGCAGUGGGGAAUUUUGGACAAUGGGCGAAAGCCUGAUCCAGCAAUGCCGCGUGUGUGAAGAAGGCCUUCGGGUUGUAAAGCACUUUUGUCCGGAAAGAAAUGGCUCUGGUUAAUACCUGGGGUCGAUGACGGUACCGGAAGAAUAAGGACCGGCUAACUACGUG
This 490-nucleotide ribosomal RNA is filed under the name uncultured bacterium. RNAcentral's name for it is "partial 16S ribosomal RNA". It matches the Rfam family "Bacterial small subunit ribosomal RNA", at positions 30 to 507 of the family's 1533-position model. The record is from RNAcentral.